Molecule: ribosomal RNA, 250 nt
Filed under: uncultured Staphylococcus sp.
Lineage: Bacteria; Bacillati; Bacillota; Bacilli; Caryophanales; Staphylococcaceae
Description: partial 16S ribosomal RNA
Rfam family: Bacterial small subunit ribosomal RNA
Source: RNAcentral
CGUUAGCGGCGGACGGGUGAGUAACACGUGGGUAACCUACCUAUAAGACUGGGAUAACUCCGGGAAACCGGGGCUAAUACCGGAUAACACAUGAAACCGCAUGGUUUCAUGAUGAAAGACGGUUUUGCUGUCACUUAUAGAUGGACCCGCGGCGUAUUAGCUAGUUGGUAAGGUAACGGCUUACCAAGGCAACGAUACGUAGCCGAUCUGAGAGGGUGAUCGGCCACACUGGAACUGAGACACGGUCCAG